RNAcentral lists this ribosomal RNA (321 nucleotides) under Backeljaia gigaxii. Its description in RNAcentral is "partial 16S ribosomal RNA". Lineage: Eukaryota; Metazoa; Mollusca; Gastropoda; Stylommatophora; Geomitridae. The record is from RNAcentral.
GGCUUAUAAUUGAAGUCUGGCAUGAAUGAAUUAAUGGGGAGUUACUGUCUUUUUGGGUUUUCAAGAACUUACUUAACAAGUGAAAAUACUUGUAAAUAAAUAAUAGACGAGAAGACCCUAGAAAUUUUUUUAAUAUUGGUUUUAUAUCUAAUUAAUUUUGCUGGGGCGGCAGAAUAACAUUAAACUUAUUUUAAUAAAUUUGAACUAUCUAUUGAGUAAAAGUAAAUUACUCUAGGGAUAACAGCAUAAUUUUACAAAGUUUGUGACCUCGAUGUUGGACUAGGGACUUUAGUGUUUAGAAGAUACUAAAUCAGGCUCUGU